This 1540-nucleotide long non-coding RNA is filed under the name Oreochromis niloticus (Nile tilapia). RNAcentral's name for it is "lncRNA (ENSONIG00000007983.2)". Lineage: Eukaryota; Metazoa; Chordata; Actinopteri; Cichliformes; Cichlidae. The record is from RNAcentral.
AGAACAAACCAGCAUCUCAAGGACGCACGACGUGUAAGUGGGGAAAGGUGUUCUAUGAGGUGCAGCUUUCCUUCUUACAGGUGCAGCAAGAGACAGACUGUAUUUGGACUUAACCUGGAUUCAUCUGAUUGAGUUGCAUCCUUCAGAUAAACAAACGCGCUCUGUUUCGGUACUCCUACGGAAAUAUUUUACCAUCAACGAGGCUCGUGGAACUACAGCGAACUUAGACUGUAAAACACACACACAGUUUGACCGAAUUUCUCCGGUCGCCACAGGCUACGGCAGAGGCUUGGUUUUGCGCUCAGAGAUCGGUGCGCUCUGCUCGACUUUAGUGGUCGCAGGUCCUCCUGACAGAGAGAAUCAAGCAGCAGGCGAACGGCACCGCAGCCACGGCGGGACUCGGCCACUACGGCAUGCUUAAAGCUCACCGGGCACUUGUUGUCCAGUCCUCCCGGUUUGGGACCAUGUUUGAGGACUCCUUUAACAGAUCGAUGUGGCGCGUCGCAUGGAUUUUAUUUUUUUCCUUACUCAUCCACUGCGCACAACCUCAAGAACAACAGUAGAAGAGAAGGAACAAGACAGAUGGACGGACUGUGAUGUCAGCCCCUCUGACAGGGCUUUUCAGCAAGACGUAGGCGCAGAGAUAGACAGGAGCAGUACAUCAGUGAAGCAUGAGGGCAUGCAAGCAUGCUUUCUUUAUUAUGACAAGUGUAAAGAUAAAAGAAUGCCAAAAGUGCCGUCCAGAUUUCUAUCCCUCAAAGUCAUAUAUAUUCAAAUAUUUGACCUGAUUUUACUAAAGUGUUAUUUUCACACAACCUGGGUUUUGUUAAAGUAGAAACCCCUGGUACUAAAAAUAAAACCAGUACGCAAGUGCCUAAAAGUUCCUUAAGUAGCCUUUUAUUUUAAUAACUUAUUUACAGUACUGUGCAAAAGUCCAGGAUUUAUCAAGGUCUUUCAAAGUUUUUCUUUGCACAUUUGCUGCUUUUUUACUUAUUUUAAGCCUGAUCUUGUACUUAAUUUUCAGAGUAAUGUUUCUUUGUUAACCCACUUAACACUGACCAAUAAAUCAUUCAGGCAUAAAGGCUCAUAACUCAAGGUGUGAACCAGUGUUGUGUCUACACAUAGCAGUUUGUUACAAGCAGCCUGCUACAAAAACACAUCAUUUGUUUGAAUUUCUUUACUUGGGUCGAUGAAAAAUGCCAAAGAUAACACAGUUUGAGAGGCAUAAAAUAGUAUUUUUGAACCAACAAGGUGAUUUCCAAAGAUGUCUGAUUGGCAAAAGCUUCAUUUUUCAGCAUGACACUGCAGAUGCGGUUAGCAGCAUACCGGGAUAGAAAAACACACAAUGGGACAUUAUCAGUCAUGGAUUGUCCUCUCCAGAGCCCAGACCUCAGGAAUAUCAAAGCAAUGUGGGAUUAUCGUGACCGAGAGAAAAGAGAACAGAACAACAGGCAGGCAGCAUCCAAAGCAGAGCUGAGAAUAUCCUUUAAAACGCCUGGAUAACUAUUCCUGAGGAAUGCUUAAAGAAAUUAAAGGAAAG